CUCUACCUAGCCCGCAACCUGAAUCACCCAAGACCCCCUUCUCAUUAAAACAACUAACUAUGGACCCUAAAAAAGAGAUAAGAUCCCUUGCCCCACAAGGAGCUAGCGUCGUUUCCCCUUCUCCUUCAUUCUUCUCUCAUCAUCUACAAGAACAAAGGAGAUUCCCUCUCUCUCAACCACAGAGAAGACCGAGCUUGAAAAUUCAGAUUUAGUGUUACAAAAAUUGAAGAUAGAUAUAUCAAAAAAAAAAAGAAGAGAAAGCUUUUGUUUCUUCAUUCUUUUUCAUUUCGAUUUUUGGGUAUCAAAAUCAUGGUGUUUUCUUGAGAGCUUGAUGGGGCUGUAAAGAGUGUUUCAAAGCUGAGAGGUUGAUUUAACUUUCAGUCGUUGUUCAAUUCCGCUGAUUUCUACUGCUUCUGGAAUUGUUGAGCUCCUACACGCUAGUUUCUUUGCCUAUUUUUAGCUGCCCUUUGCCUCUAGAUUUAAUCCUUGCACCGUUAGUAUGUCUUUGCUAAACUUGAAAAUUUAAGAUUUGGCCUAAAUAUGAAGUCAUGCUUGAUUUUGGUUGUUAAUCGAAUAUUGAUUGGAAUUUGCUAUUUCAACCCGUUUUAGCAUAAAUAAGUGUCAUUUAUUUUACUUGAAAUAUGAGGAAAUGCCUAAAUUUGCCUCUCGGACGAUGUUGUUUGAAACUGAUAGUUUGUGAUUUAUCAAUCACCAGAUGUGUAGUGUUACAUGAAUAUCACUCUGUUGUUUUUUUAGAAAGGGUUCAUGUUGGAGUGAGAUAUACGUGAAGCUGGAAUUAGCUAUCUACUAUAAAUUAGUUGUCGCGUAGUUGUAGAUCGUGGUUAUUAUUGUAAUAGGAUAUGGUCACAAUAAGGAAAAUUACUGGCUUUGUAAGCUUAAUUAGAAUUGAUAUCCAUUUUACUUUCUCUUAA
RNAcentral lists this long non-coding RNA (932 nucleotides) under Nicotiana benthamiana. Its description in RNAcentral is "long non-coding RNA (NBEN_LNC026243)". The record is from RNAcentral. Lineage: Eukaryota; Viridiplantae; Streptophyta; Magnoliopsida; Solanales; Solanaceae.